GAUGAACGCUGGCGGCGUGCUUAACACAUGCAAGUCGAACGGGGAUUAUUUCAUUGAAGCUUCGGCAGAUUUGGCUUAAUCCUAGUGGCGGACGGGUGAGUAACGCGUGGGUAACCUGCCUUGUACAGGGGGAUAACAGUCAGAAAUGACUGCUAAUACCGCAUAAGCGCACAGGACCGCAUGGUCCGGUGUGAAAAACUCCGGUGGUAUAAGAUGGACCCGCGUUGGAUUAGCUUGUUGGCAGGGUAACGGCCUACCAAGGCGACGAUCCAUAGCCGGCCUGAGAGGGUGAACGGCCACAUUGGGACUGAGACACGGCCCAGACUCCUACGGGAGGCAGCAGUGGGGAAUAUUGCACAAUGGGGGAAACCCUGAUGCAGCGACGCCGCGUGAAGGAAGAAGUAUCUCGGUAUGUAAACUUCUAUCAGCAGGGAAGAAAAUGACGGUACCUGACUAAGAAGCCCCGGC
This 468-nucleotide ribosomal RNA is filed under the name uncultured bacterium. RNAcentral's name for it is "bacterial SSU rRNA". It matches the Rfam family "Bacterial small subunit ribosomal RNA", at positions 28 to 497 of the family's 1533-position model. The record is from RNAcentral.